CAAUGAGAGCAGGAACUGCCGGUACUCUGCAUAGUUAAUGAGCUGUCAUUCUGACUUCAACUGAUACCGCCCAGCUCCGCUCAACCAGUCCUGAUCGCAGAGUUAAGGUCCUGUCUCAAUCCUGUACUGCUGAAGCAGCUGACGUCUUCAGGAUCACCACACACUUCAGGACAGGUGUGUGAACAGAUUAGAGAUAAACUCUGCAGGAUGCUGGUCCUCCAGGACAUCACUGUUAGAGUCACUAGGAACAGGUCACUGCAUCUUUUGUAAUGUAGAUGCUUGGAUAAAAAGCAGCCAUGCUACAGCAUCUAAAAUGGAGACUAUUAAAUCUAUUAAAGUGGCUCUGUAACAUAAGAGACUUGGGAUGGUGGAAGGAGCAGAAGAUCAGAGAUCUACUGGUGCCCAUUAGGGAUUGAUUUAUCUAUAAUUAUCUAUAAUAUCUACUUAAUGUUCUAAUGAAGUUAUAAUUGGUCAUUAUUCUUUUUUAUAAAUCUAUUCAAUAGAUUCUAGUGUUCAAUAGUUGGGGUCAGAAAGUUUUUUCUUUCUUUAAGAUAUUACUUGUAUUCAGCAAGGGUGCAUUAAACUGAUAAAAAGCAACAGUAAAAACGUUUACAUUGUUGGACAAAAAUCCUAUUAAAAAAAAUAAAUAAAUGCUGCUCUUUUAAAACCUCUAAAG
Molecule: long non-coding RNA, 676 nt
Organism: Carassius auratus (goldfish)
Lineage: Eukaryota; Metazoa; Chordata; Actinopteri; Cypriniformes; Cyprinidae
Exons: 4
Source: RefSeq, a predicted model, not a curated record